RNAcentral lists this ribosomal RNA (406 nucleotides) under uncultured bacterium. Its description in RNAcentral is "partial 16S ribosomal RNA". It matches the Rfam family "Bacterial small subunit ribosomal RNA", at positions 30 to 526 of the family's 1533-position model. The record is from RNAcentral.
AUUGAACGCUGGCGGCAGGCCUAACACAUGCAAGUCGAGCGAGCGGCGGACGGGUGAGUAAUGUCUGGGAAACUGCCGGAUGGAGGGGGAUAACUACUGGAAACGGUAGCUAAUACAGCAUAACAUCAGAUGUGCCCAGAUGGGAUUAGCUAGUAGGUGGGGUAAUGGCUCACCUAGGCGACGAUCCCGAGCUGGUCGCAGAGGAUGACCAGCCAAACUGGAACUAGGACACGGUCCAGACUCCUACGGGAGGCAGCAGUGGGGAAUAUUGCACAAUGGGCGCAAGCCUGAUGCAGCCAUGCCGCGUGUAUGAAGAAGGCCUUCUGGUUGUAAAGUACUUUCAGCGAGGAGGCGUUACUCGCAGAAGAAGCACCGGCUAACUCCGUGCCAGCAGCCGCGGUAAUAC